RNAcentral lists this ribosomal RNA (493 nucleotides) under uncultured bacterium. Its description in RNAcentral is "partial 16S ribosomal RNA". It matches the Rfam family "Bacterial small subunit ribosomal RNA", at positions 30 to 523 of the family's 1533-position model. The record is from RNAcentral.
AUUGAACGCUGGCGGCAUGCUUUACACAUGCAAGUCGAACGGUAACAGGUUAAGCUGACGAGUGGCGAACGGGUGAGUAAUGCAUCGGAACGUGCCCGAUCGUGGGGGAUAACGCAGCGAAAGCUGCGCUAAUACCGCAUACGAUCUAAGGAUGAAAGCGGGGGACCGUAAGGCCUCGCGCGAUCGGAGCGGCCGAUGUCAGAUUAGGUAGUUGGUGGGGUAAAGGCCCACCAAGCCGACGAUCUGUAGCUGGUCUGAGAGGACGACCAGCCACACUGGGACUGAGACACGGCCCAGAUUCCUACGGGAGGCAGCAGUGGGGAAUUUUGGACAAUGGGCGAAAGCCUGAUCCAGCAAUGCCGCGUGCAGGAAGAAGGCCUUCGGGUUGUAAACUGCUUUUGUACGGAGCGAAAAGGUCCUUUCUAAUACAAGGGGCUCAUGACGGUACCGUAAGAAUAAGCACCGGCUAACUACGUGCCAGCAGCCGCCGCAG